Molecule: non-coding RNA, 81 nt
Organism: Zea mays
Lineage: Eukaryota; Viridiplantae; Streptophyta; Magnoliopsida; Poales; Poaceae
Source: Rfam
GAGGAUGACGAUAUGGUUUUGUCGCCCCUAUCUUAGAUCUAAUCUUUCGUAUCUAUGUUGACAUGUUAUCAAAUAUGACUC